This 639-nucleotide ribosomal RNA is filed under the name Dasytes nigroaeneus. Its description in RNAcentral is "eukaryotic LSU rRNA". It matches the Rfam family "Eukaryotic large subunit ribosomal RNA", at positions 670 to 1262 of the family's 3401-position model. Lineage: Eukaryota; Metazoa; Arthropoda; Insecta; Coleoptera; Melyridae. The record is from RNAcentral.
GGAGUCUAGCAUGUGCGCGAGUCAUUGGGACACGAUUAAACCUAAAGGCGCAAUGAAAGUGAAGGCUCGCCUUGCGCGAGCCGAGGGAAGAUGGGCGUUCCGUGUUCUCGCGGUCGCCCCGCAUUCCCGGGGCGUCUCGUUCUCAUUGCGAGAAGAGGCGCACCAAGAGCGUACACGCUGGGACCCGAAAGAUGGUGAACUAUGCCUGGUCAGGACGAAGUCAGGGGAAACCCUGAUGGAGGUCCGUAGCGAUUCUGACGUGCAAAUCGAUCGUCGGAACUGGGUAUAGGGGCGAAAGACUAAUCGAACCAUCUAGUAGCUGGUUCCCUCCGAAGUUUCCCUCAGGAUAGCUGGCGCUCGUCGCCAACGAGUCUCAUCCGGUAAAGCGAAUGAUUAGAGGCAUUGGGGCCGAAACGGCCUCAACCUAUUCUCAAACUUUAAAUGGGUGAGAUCUCCGGCUUGCUCGAACCGAUGAAGCCGCGAGACUCGGAUCAGAGUGCCAAGUGGGCCAUUUUUGGUAAGCAGAACUGGCGCUGUGGGAUGAACCAAACGCCGAGUUAAAGCGCCUAAAUCGACGCUUAUGGGAUACCAUGAAAGGCGUUGGUAACUUAAGACAGCAGGACGGUGGCCAUGGAAGUC